GCUGCUCCUAGUACGAGAGGACCGGAGUGGACGCAUCACUGGUGUUCGGGUUGUCAUGCCAAUGGCACUGCCCGGUAGCUAAAUGCGGAAGAGAUAAGUGCUGAAAGCAUCUAAGCACGAAACUUGCCCCGAGAUGAGUUCUCCCUGAGACUUUAAGUCUCCUGAAGGAACGUUGAAGACGACGACGUUGAUAGGCCGGGUGUGUAAGCGCAGCGAUGCGUUGAGCUAACCGGUACUAAUGAACCGUGAGGCUUAACCUU
RNAcentral lists this ribosomal RNA (260 nucleotides) under Klebsiella pneumoniae. RNAcentral describes it as "partial 23S ribosomal RNA". It matches the Rfam family "Bacterial large subunit ribosomal RNA", at positions 2671 to 2925 of the family's 2925-position model. Lineage: Bacteria; Pseudomonadati; Pseudomonadota; Gammaproteobacteria; Enterobacterales; Enterobacteriaceae. The record is from RNAcentral. RNAcentral also lists the same sequence under 3 other names.